UUUUUUUUUUUUUGGUCGGAAAAACUGAUAUAUUAUACGAACAUGUGCAUACAACCAGCAAGUAGUGCAUCUGUAAGGACAAUAUUCUGGAAAGCAAAAGGAGUAAAAACAAGCCAGUUUGAAACAGAUCCAUUGGCCCGAUGGGCUUUGGCGGCCCAGUCUGCAGCUAGGUUGGCAUCGCGAGAGACAUGAUGAAUCGAGGUAUUAGGGCAUUGAGAGAGUAGUUCGUGAAGAACGGCAAGAAGAUGUCGCUCCUGCCAUGGCUGCGGCUAGUGAUGCCGAAGGAUCUCCACCAAGAAAAGGCAGUCCGAUUCAACCAGAACUCGAUGGUGCUGAUGCCGCUGCUUGAUCAGGUGCUGAAAGGCCCGAAUCAUCGCGAAGAUCUCCGCUU
Molecule: long non-coding RNA, 391 nt
Filed under: Eucalyptus grandis
Lineage: Eukaryota; Viridiplantae; Streptophyta; Magnoliopsida; Myrtales; Myrtaceae
Description: long non-coding RNA (EGRA_LNC007003)
Source: RNAcentral